AGAGUUUGAUCAUGGCUCAGAGUGAACGCUGGCGGCGUGCUUAACACAUGCAAGUCGAACGAGAACGGGUUACAGCUUGCUGUAACUGUCAGCUAAGUGGCGCACGGGUGAGUAAUAUAUAGGUAACAUGCCCCAAAGAAGAGGAUAACGUUUGGAAACGAACGCUAAUACUCUAUAUGCCUUUAAGUCAUAAGACUGCAAGGGAAAUAUUUAUAGCUUUGGGAUUGGCCUGUACAGUAUCAGCUAGUUGGUGAGGUAAUGGCUCACCAAGGCUAUGACGCUUAACUGGUUUGAGAGGAUGAUCAGUCACACUGGAACUGAGACACGGUCCAGACUCCUACGGGAGGCAGCAGUGGGGAAUAUUGCACAAUGGACGAAAGUCUGAUGCAGCAACGCCGCGUGGAGGAUGACACAUUUCGGUGCGUAAACUCCUUUUAUAUAGGAAGAUAAUGACGGUACUAUAUGAAUAAGCACCGGCUAACUCCGUGCCAGCAGCCGCGGUAAUACGGAGGGUGCAAGCGUUACUCGGAAUCACUGGGCGUAAAGAGAAUGUAGGCGGGUUAAUAAGUUGGAAGUGAAAUCCUAUGGCUCAACCAUAGAACUGCUUUCAAAACUGUUGACCUAGAAUAUGGGAGAGGUAGAUGGAAUUUCUGGUGUAGGGGUAAAAUCCGUAGAGAUCAGAAGGAAUACCGAUUGCGAA
This 700-nucleotide ribosomal RNA is filed under the name uncultured bacterium. RNAcentral's name for it is "bacterial SSU rRNA". It matches the Rfam family "Bacterial small subunit ribosomal RNA", at positions 8 to 719 of the family's 1533-position model. The record is from RNAcentral.